UAGCAUUCUAAAAUUAAACUACCCUCUG
This 28-nucleotide transfer RNA is filed under the name Engraulis australis (Australian anchovy). RNAcentral describes it as "partial tRNA-Pro". Lineage: Eukaryota; Metazoa; Chordata; Actinopteri; Clupeiformes; Engraulidae. The record is from RNAcentral.